ACGGGUGAGUAACGCGUGGGAACAUACCUCUUGGUUCGGAACAACACAGGGGAACUUGUGCUAAUACCGGAUAAGCCCUUACGGGGAAAGAUUUAUCGCCGAGAGAUUGGCCCGCGUCUGAUUAGCUAGUUGGUAGGGUAAUGGCCUACCAAGGCGACGAACAGUAGCUGGUCUGAGAGGAUGAUCAGCCACAUUGGGACUGAGACACGGCCCAAACUCCUACGGGAGGCAGCAGUGGGGAAUAUUGGACAAUGGGCGCAAGCCUGAUCCAGCCAUGCCGCGUGAGUGAUGAAGGCCCUAGGGUUGUAAAGCUCUUUUGUACGGGAAGAUAAUGACGGUACCGUAAGAAUAAGCCCCGGCUAACUUCGUGCCAGCAGCCGCGGUAAUACGAAGGGGGCUAGCGUUGCUCGGAAUCACUGGGCGUAAAGGGUGCGUAGGCGGGUUUUUAAGUCAGAGGUGAAAUCCUGGAGCUCAACUCCAGAACUGCCUUUGAUACUGAAAGUCUUGAGUAUGGGAGAGGUGAGUGGAACUGCGAGUGUAGAGGUGAAAUUCGUAGA
RNAcentral lists this ribosomal RNA (557 nucleotides) under uncultured bacterium. Its description in RNAcentral is "bacterial SSU rRNA". It matches the Rfam family "Bacterial small subunit ribosomal RNA", at positions 102 to 694 of the family's 1533-position model. The record is from RNAcentral.